AAAAUCCGUCGACUUUUAAAAUCGUGAGGGUUCAAGUCCCUUU
Molecule: transfer RNA, 43 nt
Filed under: Gnidia racemosa
Lineage: Eukaryota; Viridiplantae; Streptophyta; Magnoliopsida; Malvales; Thymelaeaceae
Description: tRNA-Leu(UAA)
Source: RNAcentral